Long non-coding RNA from Oncorhynchus nerka (sockeye salmon), 1749 nucleotides. RefSeq lists it as uncharacterized. The record is from RefSeq and is a predicted model, not a curated record. Lineage: Eukaryota; Metazoa; Chordata; Actinopteri; Salmoniformes; Salmonidae. The transcript has 2 exons.
AUCGCCGAAACCGGGGGUGUGUGACUUUUUCCCUCUAGCGUUCCAGAUUCUGCUGGGUCUGUCUCCGGGCAGUCUGAAAAAACAUUAUUUGUCCUUGUUUUAACAUAGGCUAUCAACAGAUCUAUAACUAAUAAAAAGGCUGAUAACUAAUAACAAAACUGUAUAAUGGUCCCAUACCUUGUCCCUGGAGCUCCGGUUUGUACAGAGUUGGUUAAAUCCGCUCUUUUGCUCCCCGUUUACAUGGCUAAUAAUCUCCAAGGUGCUCUAAACGGUGUUGUUUGUGUGAAUAUUGUUUUCCAUAAAGUUAAUAACCCCCCCCCCCCCCCCCCUAAAACGAAAUAUGAAAUGACCUCUUCCCCUAUCGUUAAAGCGUGCGAUACAUUUUUAAAACCAGUGAUUUAAUUCAAAAUAUUUAGUACCUACAUUUUAACACAUGUUAUAAUUCCAAAUUAUGUGUCCACUGUGCGGGGAAAAUGAUAAUACAAGCGGAACUACGUAGCUAAUACUGUUGUAACUGGGGAUCCUUAUUGUAGCAACACACUUUUGUAGGGAAGGCAAUCCUGCGCUGCGUUAGCUAAAUUUUCAUGUCAUCGGGUGUAGUUCAUAAAGGUUGAAGAGUGUAUGUUAGGAUGAAGUGUGAAUUCAUGCCAGGAAUAAUAAGUGUGAAGUUUGAUUUCCUCCCUUCUGUAAUAAGCAGCCAAUGAGUUCUCACUGAAGGGGAUAAUUCUCACUGAAACUACUGAAUAAAGCCGCCAGUUAAAAUCAUGGAACGGUUGUGCUUAAAUCCGCUCUUUUGCUCCCCGUUUACAUGGCUAAUAAUCUCCAAGCUGCUCUAAACGGUGUUGUUUGUGUGAAUAUUGUUUUCCAUAAAGUUAAUAACCCCCCCUAAAACGAAAUAUGAAAUGACCUCUUCCCCUAUCUUUAAAGCGUGCGAUACAUUUUUAAAACCAGUGAUUUAAUUCAAAAUAUUUAGUACCUACAUUUUAACACAUGUUAUAAUUCCAAAUUAUGUGUCCGCUGUGCGGGGAAAAUGAUAAUACAAGCGGAACUACGUAGCUAAUACUGUUGUAACUGGGGAUCCUUAUUGUAUAGCAACACACUUUUGUAGGGAAGGCAAUCCUGCGCUGCGUUAGCUAAAUUUUCAUGUCAUCGGGUGUAGUUCAUAAAGGUUGAAGAGUGUAUGUUAGGAUGAAGUGUGAAUUCAUGCCCGGAAUAAUAAGUGUGAAGUUUGAUUUCCUCCCUUCUGUAAUAAGCAGCCAAUGAGGUAUUUUUUCCUUUAUUCAUGUGUUUAAUCUGAACCCCUUAUAACGCCGGUUAAACUGUUAUGUAUGUAAGCACUUCAGAGUUAUACCAAGCUAAUAAGUCACUACUAAGAUAAUGUUGUAAGAGUGUGCUUAACUGUAUUUUUAAUUUACUUUAUAGUUCUCACUGAAGGGGAUAAUUCUCACUGAAACUACUGAAUAAAGCCGCCAGUUAAAAUCAUUGAACGGUUGUGCUCGUGGUUACUGAAGGAGCUAUGCCCACAUCAUUAAUGAAUAAGAUGUGUGGAAAACUGUUUAGCCAUAGUUAAAGGCCUUUCAUAAAGAGCCUGUCAUGAUUGCAUGUCCCUUAUGUUUAACACGUAUUGCUUGUUACAGAAUACUACUGUUGUACAUUUAAUAUCCCCUAGCAGAUUUCGUUGCCUUUGCACAAAUUCUGUCAUGUUACUGUGGUCUUUUUAAAAGUCAAUAAAAAUGUGUGUAAAGUGGC